CACCGGCAGCUCAAGUGGUAGCCAUGUUUAUUGGGUCUAAAGCGUCCGUAGCCGGCUGAGUAAGUUCCUUGGGAAAUUUGACCGCUUAACGGUUAAGCUAUCAGGGAAUACUGCUUGGCUUGGGACCGGGAGAGGUCAGAGGUACUCCAGGGGUAGGGGUGAAAUCUAUUAAUCCUUGGGGGCACCACCGGUAGCGAAGGCGUCUGACCAGACCGGGUCCGACGGUGAGGGACGAAGGCUGGGGUCGCGAACCGGAUUAGAUACCCGGGUAGUCCCAGCUGUAAACGAUGCGGGCCAGGUGUUGGCAUUACUGCGAGUGAUGUCAGUGCCAAAAGGGAAGCCGUUAAAGCCCGCCAUCUGGGGAGUACGGUCGCAAGGCUGAAACUUAAAGAAAUUGGCGGGGGAGCACCACAACGGGUGGAGCCUGCGGUUCAAUCGGAUUCAACGCCGGAAAAACUCACCGGAGGCGACAGCGAGAUGAAGGUCAGGCUGAAGACCUUACCGGAUUAGCUGAGAGGUGGCGCAUGGCCGUCGGCAGUUCGUGUCGUGAAGCAUCCUGUUAAAGUCAGGCAACGGGCGAGACCCGCGCUCACAGUUGCCAGCAUGUUCUUCGGAACGAUGGGCACUCUGUGAGGACUGCCACCGCUAAGGUGGAGGAAGAAGCGGGCCACGGUAGGUCAGUACGCCCCGAAUCUUCCGGGCUACACGCGUGCUACAAUGGGCAGUACAAUGGGUAUCAACCCCGAAAAGGGGAAAGGUAAUCUCCUAAAAACUGUCCUCAGUUGGGAUCGAGGGCUGCAACUCGCCCUCGUGAACCAAGGAAUCCGUAGUAAAUCGCCUCUCAAAAAUGAGGCGGUGAAAUAUGUCCUGCUCCUUGCACACACCGCCCGUCAAGGCUUG
This 900-nucleotide ribosomal RNA is filed under the name uncultured archaeon. RNAcentral's name for it is "bacterial SSU rRNA". It matches the Rfam family "Archaeal small subunit ribosomal RNA", at positions 474 to 1362 of the family's 1478-position model. The record is from RNAcentral.